GGAGAGGUGUCCGAGCGGUCGAAGGAGCGCGCCUGGAAAGCGCGUGUACGGUUUAUGCCGUACCGAGGGUUCGAAUCCCUCCCUCUCCGCCA
Molecule: transfer RNA, 92 nt
Filed under: Salinisphaeraceae bacterium
Lineage: Bacteria; Pseudomonadati; Pseudomonadota; Gammaproteobacteria; Salinisphaerales; Salinisphaeraceae
Description: tRNA-Ser
Rfam family: tRNA
About the family: Transfer RNA (tRNA) molecules are approximately 80 nucleotides in length. Their secondary structure includes four short double-helical elements and three loops (D, anti-codon, and T loops). Further hydrogen bonds mediate the characteristic L-shaped molecular structure. tRNAs have two regions of fundamental functional importance: the anti-codon, which is responsible for specific mRNA codon recognition, and the 3' end, to which the tRNAs corresponding amino acid is attached (by aminoacyl-tRNA synthetases). tRNAs cope with the degeneracy of the genetic code in two manners: having more than one tRNA (with a specific anti-codon) for a particular amino acid; and 'wobble' base-pairing, i.e. permitting non-standard base-pairing at the 3rd anti-codon position.
Source: RNAcentral